Molecule: ribosomal RNA, 460 nt
Filed under: uncultured bacterium
Lineage: Bacteria
Description: partial 16S ribosomal RNA
Rfam family: Bacterial small subunit ribosomal RNA
Source: RNAcentral
CCUACGGGAGGCAGCAGUGAGGAAUAUUGGUCAAUGGCCGGAAGGCUGAACCAGCCAUGCCGCGUGAAGGUCAGUGCCCUAUGGGCGUUAAACUUCUUUUGUGCGGGAGCAAUAAUGGUCACGUGUGGCCAGACGAGAGUACCGUAAGAAUAAGCAUCGGCUAACUCCGUGCCAGCAGCCGCGGUAAUACGGGGGAUGCAAGCGUUAUCCGGAUUUAUUGGGUUUAAAGGGUGCGUAGGGUGGGAGGUAAGUCAGCGGUGAAAUGCCCCCGCUCAACGGGGUGAAGUGCCAUUGAUACUGGCUUGCUUGAAUGCGGAUGCCGUGGGAGGAAUGUGUGGUGUAGCGGUGAAAUGCAUAGAUAUCACACAGAACACCGAUUGCGAAGGCAUCUCACGAAUCCGCGAUUGACGCUGAUGCACGAAAGCGUGGGUAUCAAACAGGAUUAGAUACCCUAGUAGUC